UUACAGAGUUUUCUAAACUCCCAACCCUAUGUGAACUUACCUUUGUUGCUUCGGCGGCGGAGGCUACCCUGCGGGAGAAUACCACUUAGUGGUUAUCCUGUAGUUUCAGGUACAUCAGCUACCCGGUAGUCAUCCCCGCCGGCGGCCAACUAAACUCUGUUUUCUUUGGAAUUCUGAAUAACAAACUUAAUAAGUUAAAACUUUCAACAACGGAUCUCUUGGUUCUGGCAUCGAUGAAGAACGCAGCGAAAUGCGAUAAGUAAUGUGAAUUGCAGAAUUCAGUGAAUCAUCGAAUCUUUGAACGCACAUUGCGCCCAUUAGCAUUCUAGUGGGCAUGCCUGUUCGAGCGUCAUUUCACCACUUAAGCCCUGUUGCUUAGCGUUGGGAGCCUACGGCACGGCCCGUAGCUCCUUAAAGUGAUUGGCGGAGUUGGUUCUCACUCUAAGCGUAGUAACUAUAUCUCGCUUCUGUAGUGGUCCCGGCCCCUGCCGUAAAACCCCUUAUACAAAGGUUGACCUCGGAUCAGGUAGGAAUACCCGCUGAACUUAAGCAUAUCAAUAAGCGGAGGAAAAGAAACCAACAGGGAUUGCCCUAGUA
RNAcentral lists this ribosomal RNA (597 nucleotides) under fungal endophyte. Its description in RNAcentral is "eukaryotic LSU rRNA". The stretch from base 199 to 352 matches the Rfam family "5.8S ribosomal RNA". The record is from RNAcentral. Lineage: Eukaryota; Fungi.